Molecule: ribosomal RNA, 460 nt
Filed under: uncultured bacterium
Lineage: Bacteria
Description: partial 16S ribosomal RNA
Rfam family: Bacterial small subunit ribosomal RNA
Source: RNAcentral
CCUACGGGCGGCAGCAGUGAGGAAUAUUGGUCAAUGGACGAGAGUCUGAACCAGCCAAGUAGCGUGAAGGAUGACUGCCCUAUGGGUUGUAAACUUCUUUUAUAUGGGAAUAAAACGUUCCACGUGUGGGAUUUUGUAUGUACCAUAUGAAUAAGGAUCGGCUAACUCCGUGCCAGCAGCCGCGGUAAUACGGAGGAUCCGAGCGUUAUCCGGAUUUAUUGGGUUUAAAGGGAGCGUAGGUGGAUUGUUAAGUCAGUUGUGAAAGUUUGCGGCUCAACCGUAAAAUUGCAGUUGAAACUGGCAGUCUUGAGUACAGUAGAGGUGGGCGGAAUUCGUGGUGUAGCGGUGAAAUGCUUAGAUAUCACGAAGAACUCCGAUUGCGAAGGCAGUUCACUGGACUGCAACUGACACUGAGGCUCGAAAGUGUGGGUAUCAAACAGGAUUAGAUGCCCUUGUAGUC